This 162-nucleotide non-coding RNA is filed under the name Pseudanabaena biceps. Lineage: Bacteria; Bacillati; Cyanobacteriota; Cyanophyceae; Pseudanabaenales; Pseudanabaenaceae. The record is from RNAcentral.
UAGUUCAAUACAUUGUUUGGUUCUAGUGAGGAGCAGUCACUAGAGGAAACGGGGAAAGUUCGGUGUAAAUCCGACGCUGUACCGCAACUGUGAUGAAAGCUAAUUGAUCGUUUAUUAACAAGCUUUUCGAGUCAGGAUGCCCACCAACAACUCACGUAAACC